This 3361-nucleotide long non-coding RNA is filed under the name Medicago truncatula (barrel medic). Its description in RNAcentral is "long non-coding RNA (MTRU_LNC000054)". The record is from RNAcentral. Lineage: Eukaryota; Viridiplantae; Streptophyta; Magnoliopsida; Fabales; Fabaceae.
UGCUCAUUCUAUUCUCUUGAAGCACAAAAACAUGAAAACUCUUCUAACCUUAAUCUUCACAUUCUCCAUCAUCAUCAUCAUCAUCGUUGCCUUCACACAUGCAACACCAACAUUGAUCAUUCGCACUCAACCUCAAAUGAACCAAUCAUCCAUGCUUAUUCAUACCCAACAACAAGUAAAUCAAUUUUCAAUGUCCCUUUUCCCUGUAAAGUUUAGUCACUGGAUGAAUGAUUUAUUAUUAAUUUCAUAUUUUAAUUAAUGCAUCUUAAAUAAAAGGUUAUAUAUGCAUGUUUCAGAAUGAGACUAAACGGAGUGGUAACUGCGAUUACAAGGUGACCAUAGCAACAAGCUGCAAAUCUCCUUUAUCUACAAAAGAUGAAAUCAGUAUUUUAUUUGGAGAUGCUGAUGGCUCUGAGGUUCCUUUCUAUACCACAAACAAUUAAUCAUAUAUCUAUACAUGUUUAUGUUGCUCCUUAAUUUUUGUUGUGCAAAUAAUAUUACACCCUAAUUAUUAAUAUUUGUUAGUUGCCAACAAAAAAAUUAUAUAUCUAUACAUAUAAUAAUUGCAGGUUUAUGUACCAAGAUUGGACGAUCCUGAUUCUGGGACGACGUUCGAGCAAUGCACCACGAUGGAUUUUGAGAUAUUGGGACCAUGUAUUGGUAAAAUAUGCAAAAUGUAUCUAUUUAGGAACGGCACGGAUGGUUGGAUACCAGAGACUGUCAUAGCAUAUCACCAUGACAACCCUCCAGUCACAUUUAAGUACAACAUUGACAUUCCUAAGGAUUCUGGUUAUGGCUUCAAUAAUUGUGGUUAACAAGUGUGUGUGUGUGUGUGUAUUUCGGCAACAAGAUCAAAUGGUCUAGAAAUAUAGAAGCAUCAUAAUACUUAUAAAAUAAGGUUGAUUUUUUUUUUUAGUUAUCAAGAGUUUAGUGGUGAAACUAAUACACAUGUACUUAGAAAUGAGAAAUUACGGGUUCACGGUCCAACAUAUAUAUCAAACAUCCUAGCAUAUUUUGUAUGUUUAAGAUGAUGAUUGAUGUUGUAAAUGUUGAAUUAUGUGCUAUAUAUUGAUGCUGAUUUAGUAUGAUUUUUCCGUCAAAUAAUAAAGGAGGUUUCUUAACAGAUCCAUCAGAACUUUCAUCACCAGAACCAUACCAUACAUCUAUUUCACAGAAGCAUCUUUACUCUCACAUGAUUAUCUCAACCUCUAACGUUAACUGAACAAAGUGAGGAAUAUAAGAAAUGGGAGUUCAAAUUAUAAUGAAAUUCCUUUAAAUAAAACAAAUAAAAAAAGAAAAGAGUUUAAGUGAUACAAAGAUUAAUUCAAGAAUUUAUUCUGAUUCACUACCAACAUAUGGUAGCCAUGGCCCUUCAACUUGAAUGAUUUUCCACUAAUUCACACAAACAACAACAACCAUAGUACGAUCAAUUUUUUGAGGUGCUCAAGUUUUCAUAUUAUAUUUAAAUUGAUUUAUUUAUUAUUAGGGUAUAUAUAUAGACGGACAUGUUAAAAUUUUCAUUUCUCUACUUUUCUAUUGUGAUUAAUUAUACAUAAAAAGAUAUUUCAAUUUUGACAUAUACUACGAUCAAAUACUUUUUAUAAAUAAAAUUAAAAUAAAUUCCUGUUGUCAGUAUGGGAUAGUUUCCAAUUUAUUCAAUGAGAUAUAGCUUUUUUUAAAAUUAAUAACUUAAAUAAUAUAAUAAAACGGAUACAAUAGCACAUAAUGUAGUUUAAGUUAAGAGUUAAAGGUAUAAAUGAAGAAAAAAUCGAGCUCAAAAUUAUGUAUUUCUUUUAUAGACUAACAAAAAAAUAUGAUUCUCGACAUAAUUAAAUUUUUGAAUUGUAAGUAUAUGAGCUCUAGUUUAUUCAGUUCAGGCGUUUGGAAUGAGUAUAUAACCAAACAAAAAGUAUCAUUAAUGGGUCGUAAUCAACCAAAUUUUGGUUUAGCGGAAAAUAUUAGACUUUCACAAUAUAGCGAAUCAAGAAUUAUGACAAAAAUAUUCACAUAUCGUGGCACCCACGACUCAACUACGAUUACUUCUUGCAAAGGAAAAAUAUAAAAUAUUAUAGAAAAAUAAGAACCGAAUCGACAUUUAAUGAAUUGCAUUUCUCCCGAAACAAUUUGUUCAUUCAGGACUCCAAUGGUUUUUUUUUUCUUGUUUUUUAUUUUUUAUUUUUUAUAGGGAUGAAGCCAUUAAGGUUUCGGAAGAUAUACUAUAUGUAUAUUUUUUUAAUGGGAAAUGUUAACGAGUGUCCUGAGUAUUUUUUAAGACUUUUAAAUAGUAAAUUUUUAUGAGAAUUAUUGUAUUUAAUGCGUUAGAAAUUGAAACAAUUGACUUUUUUAGUGAACAAUUUCUUGAAUUAAAAUGCUUAAAGAGCGCCCAGAAACAUAAAGUCUUAACACAACCUCCAACUCCAAUGGAGAAACUUGCCAAAAUGCCAACAUCUAGUCUUGAAGAGUGCUCGAGUUUCGCCGAGAAAUCCACGGAAACAAACAAUAGUACUCUAUUAACUACGAUUUUUUUUAUUUUAGAUUAAAUUUUAUGCAGAUCCUCGUAAAAUAAUUAUAUUGACAAUACAACUUAAAAAUUGAUUCAUUUCUUUUCAAAAACUAAAAAUGGAUUCACUUAAUGAUAACGUCCCACACAAUUUAAUAGUGGACUGUUAAAAAUACUCUCUUUUCAACACACUCUCUUUCGUUAGAUGAAAUAAAUGUAUGUCCUACCACUUUAAAUGAGAUAAAUUUUCAAAGUGUGAGACUCGUUUUAAUUUAAGUCAAUAAAAAAGUAAACAUUAGAGAUAUUGAAAAGAGAAUGUUGAUAACACUAUUAAAUUUAAUAUGAUAUGCAAAAAAAUUCACUAAAAUAUAAUAGAAUAUUUAAAAAAGUGCAAUGUUAGCAUAUCAUGGUGUCAUCAAAUAUUGGCCCCGGCCUUUAUAAUAAUGCUAUAAUAACUAAUAGAAACUUGGCCCUUAAAAAAACCUAAUAGAAACUUUGAAAUAUCUAAACAAUUUAGGUGUUCCUCUUUUCUCUUCUCUUGGAGCACAAAAAAGGUUACAAGUAAUUAAUAACCGAAAGACUAAACCAUGAAAUCUCUUACCUUAAUCUUCACAUUCUCCAUCAUUGCUACCUUCUCACAUGCAACACCAUCAUUAUUGGUCACUCUCCUUCAUACCCAACAAGUAAAUAAAUUUUAUAUUCUCAUCUUUAUUUUUAUUUUGAAAUAUUAAUCCAAAGAAGGGAAUACCCUUUAAUUCAAAAUUAUUAAAAAUCAUUUGAACAACAAUAUAGCGUACACAUGAAUGUAUACAUUAUUGAAUCUUAAAUAAAAGGCUUUAUGUACGUAUUAUAUAUAUAUAU